UGCGGCAUAGAAUUAUUGGUUAAUUAGGUGUCUAUGUUCUGGCCAACUAUCUUAUCCUGUUUCUACUAGAAAACAUGUAAUAUUGAAAAAGAUAUUAAAAUCAAUUCCACAAACUAUAGUAUUCAGAAAGAUAAUGAAAAUGUGAAAAUAUGAUUUACAUGAUAAUAAGCCUAUAAAUCGUAUGGCACAUCUCUUGCUCAAAGUUUCUAUUUAUGAUCCACCAUCCGUUUAGA
This 233-nucleotide long non-coding RNA is filed under the name Elaeis guineensis (African oil palm). Its description in RNAcentral is "long non-coding RNA (EGUI_LNC023198)". Lineage: Eukaryota; Viridiplantae; Streptophyta; Magnoliopsida; Arecales; Arecaceae. The record is from RNAcentral.